This 253-nucleotide ribosomal RNA is filed under the name uncultured bacterium. RNAcentral describes it as "partial 16S ribosomal RNA". It matches the Rfam family "Bacterial small subunit ribosomal RNA", at positions 524 to 776 of the family's 1533-position model. The record is from RNAcentral.
UACGGAGGGUGCAAGCGUUAUCCGGAUUCACUGGGUUUAAAGGGUGCGUAGGCGGAUUGGUAAGUCCGUGGUGAAAUCUCUAAGCUUAACUUGGAAACUGCCAUGGAUACUAUUAGUCUUGAAUAUUGUGGAGGUUAGCGGAAUAUGUCAUGUAGCGGUGAAAUGCUUAGAUAUGACAUAGAACACCGAUAGCGAAGGCAGCUUGCUACACGAGUAUUGACACUGAGGCACGAAAGCGUGGGGAUCAAACAGG